This 802-nucleotide long non-coding RNA is filed under the name Astyanax mexicanus (Mexican tetra). Its description in RNAcentral is "lncRNA (ENSAMXG00005016682.1)". Lineage: Eukaryota; Metazoa; Chordata; Actinopteri; Characiformes; Acestrorhamphidae. The record is from RNAcentral.
UUAUUAUUAAUAAUAAUAUGAUAUUUUAUUAUUUAUGACGUUUAAAUAAAAAUCUUCCUCUUUUAGGCUUAUUACAGAAUUCAUGGAUUAAAUUAUUAAUGUAGGGGCAAUGUCUAAACCGGUUUAAUUUUGAAGGCGUUCACGUUAGCAGCAGUCUCCCGUCCUCGCUUCGCUCCGCUAUGUUCAGCUCCAGUACCUCACGGGGGCUGCAGCCGCAGGUAUUCAACAAGGAGGAAGGACGGCGUUCACAAAACCCAAACGAGCGGAUUAAGAUAAAGGAACCAAAAGGAUUUACAAAAAACACUGACAGCCUGCAUGAGUUGCUCUAUCCAUUGUUUGGGCCAGUCUGACGUUAAGACGCCUCAAAUAUGUUAGAUAGAGACCACUGGAGAGAGGCGUGUGGUGACAGCAGUUGCUCUCGCACAGUGAUUAGCUGCUACCUUGAAGACUGCAAGCUUUGGAAUUACUGAGCUUUAAAAGUUUCUGAGCUUUGUGGCUCCAGAGGAAUUCACUGAGGGUAAGUCUGUCUCUCUCUCGUUCAGAGCCUUGCUCUGUCUCUCCCCACCUGUUUGUGGAAUUCAGCCUGUGUGCUCCUACAGCCUCCAGCCAUGCCUCUCCAUGCCUGAGCAAGCCACUCUGUCACAAGUCAUGUAAAGUCAUAUAAACUCUCUCUCUCUCUCUCUCUCUCUCUCUCUCUCUCUCUCUCUCUCUCUUUCUCUCUCUUUCCUUCUCUCUCCUUCUCUCUCCCUCUCUCACUGCUUUAGAGUUUUAAAGUUAAUUAUUUUAGUUGGAGAUAGAUAAG